AAAUCUAUAAAGACCAUGUGUAAAUCCUUUUUCCCAUUUCUAUAUCUUUCCAUCAAUCUUCGUAAGAGAUAGAUUGCCUCCAUGGUUGAGCGCCCUGGCAUGAACCCGAAUUGGUUGUCCGAAACCCGUGUCUCUUGCCUCAAUCUAUGCUCAAUUACAAACUUUGCUAAAGGAAAGGCCUAUGGUGGAAAAAAGAAAUCAUGUAGAAAAAAUGAAAGAGAUAAGUUUUCAGCCUAACAAAAUAUGCAGGCAGAGAGAGGGCAAGCUAGUGAGAGCAAUACACGAAAUGAGUGGAAGGCAAAAUUUGCAACAAGGGGGAGGAGAUCGACAAAAAAGAGGAAGAGAGAGAUCAGAGCACAGAGGAACAAAAAAGGAAGAAGAACAGGACACAAAGAAGACAAUAAAGAAACACAGACGACAAAGAAAAACAAAGCAAGAAAGCAAGGAGAAACAUAAAGAAAAAGAAAGAAAAAGAAACAACAAAGGGCAGCAAGCAACAACAAACAAUCGAGAGAAGUUCUGAAAACAGAACUAUCCUUGUCACUGCCUUCAACUCCAUGAAUUUCUUGUGGGUGGUCUAAACCACCCCUGAAGUUUCAACCAAGUAUGAGUGAUCUACUCCUCGCUGCUGCCGUCAACUCCAUGAAUUUCUUGUGGGUGGUUUAAACCACCCUUGAAGUUCCAACCAAGUCUAAGUGAUCCGCUCCUUGCCACUGUUGUCAACUCCAAGAAUUUCUUGCGGGUGGUCUAAACCACCCUUAAAGUUCCAGCUAAGUCUAAGUGAUCACUGCACUGUAGCAACCAAACCUCAACACCACCGACUCCUAUCUCUCAAAGACAAAUGUGUCGUAUCAAAACCCAAGUAACCUAAGUCAUUUAAGAGCUCUGCUUCUGAAAAAUCGAAGAAGUCUCACGCUUGAGAUAUGUGAAGAAGAAAGCAAGAUAGGCAAUUGCUUUUAUUCCAACUUCAAGUGUGUUUCUCUUCACAAAGAAGGAAAAAUAUAUACGAUGAGUUUAAAAACUCUAAAGGAAGAAAAGUGCUCUAGAUGCUUUUAUAAAGCUAAAUAUGGCUUGCUUUUCCUGACGCCACAUGAAGGCCUGCUUGGACUUAGAAAUCCAAGUUUACAAGGAGAAGAAACGAGAAGCCUGCAAUAUUCCUAAAUUAAUUGGGAAUUGAUGCUUACGUGGAAACCAAAAGGAAGAAAAUAAGUCAUUUCAAAGACUUUGCUUCAAAAAAGAAACAAGUGGUUAUAUUUAAUUCUUAAUUGGACUUCUCAAAAGUCUGAUGGAUCCCAAACAAAGAAUGGAGAAGGGAAAAAGGUACAGCAAAAGAAGAAAACAAACUUGAUGUGCCAAUUACAUGGGCACUACGAACAUGAUCCCUUUUCAUCAAAAUGUUGUGCAUAAAACAAGAAGCAUGAUGACAAGAAAAAUCCAAGCUAACAUGUUGUCGAGUACAAAUACAAAUGGAUAAAGAGACGACGUCGAUCACUUUAAAUAUCGUAGACGCAAACCAUUUCGAAGCACAAAGCUCGAUGGACUUACUACCUCAAAUUAGUGAAUUCGUGCUACAUCCAAACAAAUGGAUCAAGCUCCCAUUAAAUUCUUGAAGUGGUCAAAUGGCACAAAGCCAUGUUAAAUGGCACAAGGCCGCAACAAGUUUCAAAUGACACGAAGCCACAUUAAAUACUAAAUGGCACAAAGCUGUAUUCUACUCCAAUGGCUUGAAGUCCUUGCCCGCAUGAGCUAAAACUACACAAGGCAUCAAACGCUCCAACGGCUUAAAGUCCUCGCCCACACAAGCUAAAACAAAAUGCAUAAGGCAUCAAACACUCCAACGGCUUAAAGUCCUCGCCCGUACGAGCUAAAACUGCAUAAGGCAUCAAAAGCUCCAAUGGCUCAAAGUCCUCACCCACACGAGCAAAAACUACACAAGGCAUCAAACCCCAACAAAUACAUCAUGACCUACGAGUGACUUGAUCCCUCAACAAGGGUACGUAGGCAAUCUAGGGCUCGACCUAGGUGCAGUUGCAAAAUCAAAUAAACACCUAAAUCGUCAAAUUAUGAUUUAUUCAAAUUAGAAUCAAAGGGUAUUCCUUUCCCAAAAGAAAUGUUGUAAUUAAUAGGCGCGUAACCUAGAAUGGGUCGAACUCAAUUUAAUAAAACCCUCUUAAAAAAAUGAAUGAGGGUGAAAUUGUGUCGAGUGAAUUAUUGGUUUACAUAUUAUGUACUAUUUUUGCUCAACAAAUCCUCAUCACCCCUAGAUUGCGUAUGGUCCCCCAUCGCGGAUAUACCAAGCAGAACCAUAGGCAAAAUCUCAUUGUGCAGGCAGUGAUCACCAAUCGCAGAUAUACCAAGCAUGAUCACCCCUGAAUACAUAUGGUCCCCCGUCGCGAGUAUACCAAUCAGAACUAUAUGUAUAGUCUAAUAACAUAGGCAGUGAUCACCCAUUGCGGAUAUACCAAACAUGAUCACCCCUAACAGUCCUCCAUCACGGAUAUACCAAGCAGGACUGUAUUCUAUAGCUCCAGGUAAUGAUCACCCAUCGCGGAUAUACCAAGCAUGAUCACUCCUAGAAUGCGUAUGGUCCCCCAUCGCGGAUAUACCAAGCAUGACCAUUUAAGUACCACUACUACCUAGUGCAAUCAAUUCAGCACACAAUCUACACAUACCUUGAUCCUUAUGAUUUACAACGUAGUCGCCUACACCAUCAACUUCUCAUGGCCACCAACUUAUAUGUCUCACAAACAUAUAAGUUCUACAUAAUGCUUCUAAUAAGAUUGUAGGAUCACAUUGUCACAACAUUUAUUAGACUUACCAUUCACAUUACUAAAAAGAUAAUUAAACACACAUAUAUCACAAUCAUCAUCAAUACACAAGCCAAAUCAUGUUUAAUAAACAUAAGUCUAUGGCUAAAUAUAUGAAAAUCACAUUUCAAUAGAAAUCAUAUUUAUAAGACCAAUUCAUAUUCAUAAAUGAUAUUAAUAUAAGAAAUUAAGGUAAUAACCAUAUCACAUAUAUUCAAGUCACACUUUAACCAAUAUAGGCCCACUAGACUUCACUUAGCCUUCCAUAGUACUAAUUUUAUUAUUUAGAAUGGUUCGAGACAUGUGGACCAAAAGUCAACUCUUGGUCAACGGUAGGAUCCAUAACUCUACGUAAUUCAAUCUGGAAGAUCCGCACAUCAGAUUUUGGAUCUGUAACUUCCUAAGAUCCACAUUAUGCUUCUAAAACAACAUACUAAAAUUUCAUUACGAUCCAACAGUCGGAUCUUCACCAAUCACGAAUUCAAGAGGCGGUCAAUGUUUUAUUUUACAAACUUACAAAUCCUAUUCGGGAAGAUCCGUACGUAGGAUUCCCGAUCCGUAAGUUCCUAGUCUCAUCAAAUAUUACGUACUAUAACGUAUUAAGGUUUGGUGACAAUCCAAUGAUUGUCGAUUCAUUUAAUGUCCAAGUGGCAAUCACUAUCGAAACUAUAGUCAUACAACGAGAUUUCGUCAAUGGAUUCUCGGCCCACGCGCCGCCAUAUGCGCCGCCCCAUCUCGCUGGAAAGUUCAAUUAUUUCAAAAAAUUACCAAAUUUUAGAGGCAAGUAUUUCUCAGUGAGGGGAGUAAUUUGCAUACCUGGGCCGAAGUCCAAUCCGGCCGAGAAACGCCUGAUUUUUCCCACGAGCGGUCGGAACCCUAGUUUUGGGUGUGCUUCAAUUCGACUUCCAUGCGAGCUCUGACGCCUCCACCACGACUUGGCCUUUGUUCGUGGGGUUGAGGGGAACCAUUUGGUGGUGGUGGUGGUUAGGACCUUCGGAAUCAGCCAAUUUUACUGGAACACCAUCGGAACCCACGAGUUAUGUUCUCCUCGCCUAUGUGCUCGUAGGGUCGGGCCCAAUAAAAAAACAUUAACAGGUGACCCCCGAAGGCUUACGGAUUUAAUAAUUAUUUUAAAAAAAUCAAACUUUGUAAUUAAGUAACCAAAAUUUAAAAUUAAUUUAAAUUCGCAAAAAUACUAUAAAAUCCCGUGAAUACGAAAUACGUAGAUUACAAUAGUGAAAUCCAAGAACAGGAUUUCAUUGAUGAAAAUGCCCUAGAGGCAAGAUUAUUGACUUUCGUUGACCAAUGUAUAGUGAGACGUACAAAAUAUUAUUUUAGUGUAUUCUUGAAGUACUCAGCGGUGCAAACGCGUAGACGCAAACAAAAUUGAAAUCAAAACUACGAUGGAGGUUUUACCAUACUACAAAUCUAAAAAGUACUUUUAUAAAGGUUACAAUUUAUUAUUUUCUCAUAAUUAUUGUAUUAUUAUUU
RNAcentral lists this long non-coding RNA (4298 nucleotides) under Malus domestica (apple). RNAcentral describes it as "long non-coding RNA (MDOM_LNC004769)". The record is from RNAcentral. Lineage: Eukaryota; Viridiplantae; Streptophyta; Magnoliopsida; Rosales; Rosaceae.